This 504-nucleotide ribosomal RNA is filed under the name uncultured bacterium. Its description in RNAcentral is "partial 16S ribosomal RNA". It matches the Rfam family "Bacterial small subunit ribosomal RNA", at positions 29 to 523 of the family's 1533-position model. The record is from RNAcentral.
AUUGAACGCUGGCGGCAGGCCUAACACAUGCAAGUCGGACGGUAGCACAGAGAGCUUGCUCUUGGGUGACGAGUGGCGGACGGGUGAGUAAUGUCUGGGGAUCUGCCCGAUAGAGGGGGAUAACCACUGGAAACGGUGGCUAAUACCGCAUAACGUCGCAAGACCAAAGAGGGGGACCUUCGGGCCUCUCACUAUCGGAUGAACCCAGAUGGGAUUAGCUAGUAGGCGGGGUAAUGGCCCACCUAGGCGACGAUCCCUAGCUGGUCUGAGAGGAUGACCAGCCACACUGGAACUGAGACACGGUCCAGACUCCUACGGGAGGCAGCAGUGGGGAAUAUUGCACAAUGGGCGCAAGCCUGAUGCAGCCAUGCCGCGUGUAUGAAGAAGGCCUUCGGGUUGUAAAGUACUUUCAGCGGGGAGGAAGGCGGUACGGUUAAUAACCGUACCGAUUGACGUUACCCGCAGAAGAAGCACCGGCUAACUCCGUGCCAGCAGCCGCGGUAA